UGAACGCUAGCUACAGGCUUAACACAUGCAAGUCGAGGGGCAGCAUGGUCUUAGCUUGCUAAGGCCGAUGGCGACCGGCGCACGGGUGAGUAACGCGUAUCCAACCUGCCUUACACUCUUGGACAGCCUUCUGAAAGGGAGAUUAAUACAAGAUGUUAUCAUGAGUAAGCAUUUUCGCAUGAUUAAAGGUUUACCGGUGUAAGAUGGGGAUGCGUUCCAUUAGAUAGUAGGCGGGGUAACGGCCCACCUAGUCUUCGAUGGAUAGGGGUUCUGAGAGGAAGGUCCCCCACAUUGGAACUGAGACACGGUCCAAACUCCUACGGGAGGCAGCAGUGAGGAAUAUUGGUCAAUGGACGAGAGUCUGAACCAGCCAAGUAGCGUGAAGGAUGAAGGUUCUAUGGAUUGUAAACUUCUUUUAUACGGGAAUAAACGGAUCCACGUGUGGAUUUUUGCAUGUACCGUAUGAAUAAGGAUCGGCUAACUCCGUGCCAGCAGCCGCGGUAAUACGGAGGAUCCGAGCGUUAUCCGGAUUUAUUGGGUUUAAAGGGAGCGUAGGUGGGUUGUUAAGUCAGUUGUGAAAGUUUGCGGCUCAACCGUAAAAUUGCAAUUGAUACUGGCAGUCUUGAGUACAGUUGAGGUAGGCGGAAUUCGUGGUGUAGCGGUGAAAUGCUUAGAUAUCACGAAGAACUCCGAUUGCGAAGGCAGCUUACUAACCUGUAACUGACAUUGAUGCUCGAAAGUGUGGGUAUCAAACAGGAUUAGAUACCCUGGUAGUCCACACGGUAAACGAUGAAUACUCGCUGUAGGCGAUAUACAGUCUGCGGCCAAGCGAAAGCAUUAAGUACUCCACCUGGGGAGUACGCCGGCAACGGUGAAACUCAAAGGAAUUGACGGGGGCCCCGCACAAGCGGAGGAACAUGUGGUUUAAUUCGAUGAUACGCGAGGAACCUUACCCGGGCUUAAAUUGCAACCGAAUAUGGCGGAAACGCUAUAGCUAGCAAUAGCGGUUGUGAAGGUGCUGCAUGGUUGUCGUCAGCUCGUGCCGUGAGGUGUCGGCUUAAGUGCCAUAACGAGCGCAACCCUUGCCGAUAGUUACUAACAGGCCAUGCUGAGGACUCUGUCGGGACUGCCAUCGUAAGAUGUGAGGAAGGUGGGGAUGACGUCAAAUCAGCACGGCCCUUACGUCCGGGGCUACACACGUGUUACAAUGGGGGGUACAGAGGGCUGCUACCACGCAAGUGGAUGCCAAUCCCAAAAACCUCUCUCAGUUCGGAUUGAAGUCUGCAACCCGACUUCAUGAAGCUGAAUUCGCUAGUAAUCGCGCAUCAGCCACGGCGCGGUGAAUACGUUCCCGGGCCUUGUACACACCGCCCGUCAAGCCAUGGGAGCCGGGGGUACCUGAAGUGCGUAACCGCAAGGAGCGCCCUAGGGUAAAACUGGUGACUGGGGCUAAG
RNAcentral lists this ribosomal RNA (1454 nucleotides) under uncultured organism. Its description in RNAcentral is "SSU rRNA". It matches the Rfam family "Bacterial small subunit ribosomal RNA". The record is from RNAcentral.